CGUUCAUCGAAGUUAAGCAACGUCGAGGCUGUCUAGUACCCAGAUGGGUGACCGCUUGGGAAUACCAGGUGUUGUAAG
Non-coding RNA from Acanthosepion pharaonis, 78 nucleotides. NCBI's taxonomy places the organism in Eukaryota, Metazoa, Mollusca, Cephalopoda, Sepiida, Sepiidae. The record is from the annotation of a GenBank genome assembly.